Molecule: ribosomal RNA, 1534 nt
Filed under: human oral metagenome
Description: bacterial LSU rRNA
Rfam family: Bacterial large subunit ribosomal RNA
Source: RNAcentral
GAAAUCCCGUCGGAAUCUGGGAGGACCAUCUCCCAACCCUAAAUACUCCCUAGUGACCGAUAGUGAACCAGUACCGUGAGGGAAAGGUGAAAAGCACCCCGGGAGGGGAGUGAAAUAGAACCUGAAACCGUGUGCCUACAACAAGUUCGAGCCCGUUAAUGGGUGAGAGCGUGCCUUUUGUAGAAUGAACCGGCGAGUUACGAUAUGAUGCGAGGUUAAGUUGAAGAGACGGAGCCGCAGGGAAACCGAGUCUGAAUAGGGCGUUUUAGUAUCAUGUCGUAGACCCGAAACCAUGUGACCUACCCAUGAGCAGGUUGAAGGUGCGGUAAGACGCACUGGAGGACCGAACCAGGGCACGUUGAAAAGUGCUUGGAUGACUUGUGGGUAGCGGAGAAAUUCCAAACGAACUUGGAGAUAGCUGGUUCUCUCCGAAAUAGCUUUAGGGCUAGCGUCGACAUAAAGAUUCUUGGAGGUAGAGCACUGUUUGGGUGAGGGGUCCAUCCCGGAUUACCAAUCUCAGAUAAACUCCGAAUGCCAAAGAAUUAUGGUCGGCAGUCAGACUGCGAGUGCUAAGAUCCGUAGUCGAAAGGGAAACAGCCCAGACCACCAGCUAAGGUCCCAAAAUAAUUGUUAAGUGGAAAAGGAUGUGGGGUUGCACAGACAACUAGGAUGUUAGCUUAGAAGCAGCUAUUCAUUCAAAGAGUGCGUAAUAGCUCACUAGUCGAGUGACCCUGCGCCGAAAAUGUACCGGGGCUAAAACAAUUUACCGAAGCUGUGGAUACCUUUAUAGGUAUGGUAGGAGAGCGUUCUAUGUGUGGAGAAGGUGUACCGUGAGGAGCGCUGGAACGCAUAGAAGUGAGAAUGCCGGUAUGAGUAGCGAAAGACAGGUGAGAAUCCUGUCCACCGUAAGACUAAGGUUUCCAGGGGAAGGCUCGUCCGCCCUGGGUUAGUCGGGACCUAAGGAGAGACCGAAAGGUGUAUCCGAUGGACAACAGGUUGAUAUUCCUGUACUAGAGUAUGUAGUGAUGGAGGGACGCAGUAGGCUAACUAAAGCAGACGAAUGGAAGUGUCUGUCUAAGCAGUGAGGUGUGAAUUGAGUCAAAUGCUUAAUUCUAUAACAUUGAGCUGUGAUGGGGAGCGAAGUUUAGUAGCGAAGUUAGUGACGUCACACUGCCAAGAAAAGCUUCUAGCGUUAAACAUACUCUACCCGUACCGCAAACCGACACAGGUAGUCGAGGCGAGUAGCCUCAGGUGAGCGAGAGAACUCUCGUUAAGGAACUCGGCAAAAUGACCCCGUAACUUCGGGAGAAGGGGUGCUGACUUUAAGUCAGCCGCAGUGAAUAGGCCCAAGCAACUGUUUAUCAAAAACACAGCUCUCUGCUAAAUCGUAAGAUGAUGUAUAGGGGGUGACGCCUGCCCGGUGCUGGAAGGUUAAGAGGAGUGCUUAGGAGUAAUCCGAAGGUAUGAAUUGAAGCCCCAGUAAACGGCGGCCGUAACUAUAACGGUCCUAAGGUAGCGAAAUUCCUUGUCGGGU